RNAcentral lists this ribosomal RNA (550 nucleotides) under uncultured bacterium. RNAcentral's name for it is "partial 16S ribosomal RNA". It matches the Rfam family "Bacterial small subunit ribosomal RNA", at positions 355 to 895 of the family's 1533-position model. The record is from RNAcentral.
UGGGGAAUUUUGGACAAUGGGCGCAAGCCUGAUCCAGCCAUGCCGCGUGCGGGAAGAAGGCCUUCGGGUUGUAAACCGCUUUUGUCAGGGAAGAAAUCUUCUGAGUUAAUACCUCGGGAGGAUGACGGUACCUGAAGAAUAAGCACCGGCUAACUACGUGCCAGCAGCCGCGGUAAUACGUAGGGUGCAAGCGUUAAUCGGAAUUACUGGGCGUAAAGCGUGCGCAGGCGGUUUUGUAAGACAGAGGUGAAAUCCCCGGGCUCAACCUGGGAACUGCCUUUGUGACUGCAAGGCUUGAGUGCGGCAGAGGGGGAUGGAAUUCCGCGUGUAGCAGUGAAAUGCGUAGAUAUGCGGAGGAACACCGAUGGCGAAGGCAAUCCCCUGGGCCUGCACUGACGCUCAUGCACGAAAGCGUGGGGAGCAAAACAGGAUUAGAUACCCUGGUAGUCCACGCCCUAAAACCGAUGUCAACUGGUUGUUGGGAAGGUUCCUUCUCAGUAACGUAGCUAACGCGUGAAGUUGACCGCCUGGGGAGUACGGCCGCAAGGUU